This 253-nucleotide ribosomal RNA is filed under the name uncultured bacterium. RNAcentral's name for it is "partial 16S ribosomal RNA". It matches the Rfam family "Bacterial small subunit ribosomal RNA", at positions 524 to 776 of the family's 1533-position model. The record is from RNAcentral.
UACGUAGGGUGCAAGCGUUGUCCGGAAUUAUUGGGCGUAAAGAGCUCGUAGGCGGUCUGUCGCGUCGGCUGUGAAAACCCGGGGCUCAACCCCGGGCCUGCAGUCGAUACGGGCAGACUAGAGUGCGGUAGGGGAGACUGGAAUUCCUGGUGUAGCGGUGAAAUGCGCAGAUAUCAGGAGGAACACCGGUGGCGAAGGCGGUGGUCUGGGCCGGUACUGACGCUGAGGAGCGAAAGCGUGGGGAGCGAACAGG